RNAcentral lists this ribosomal RNA (253 nucleotides) under uncultured bacterium. RNAcentral describes it as "partial 16S ribosomal RNA". It matches the Rfam family "Bacterial small subunit ribosomal RNA", at positions 524 to 776 of the family's 1533-position model. The record is from RNAcentral.
UACAGAGGGUGCGAACGUUGCUCGGAAUUACUGGGCGUAAAGCGCACGUAGGCGGAUCGUUAAGUCGGGGGUGAAAUCCUGGAGCUCAACUCCAGAACUGCCUUCGAUACUGGCGAUCUUGAGUCCGGAAGAGGUGAGUGGAACUCCUAGUGUAGAGGUGGAAUUCGUAGAUAUUAGGAAGAACACCAGUGGCGAAGGCGGCUCACUGGUCCGGUACUGACGCUGAGGUGCGAAAGCGUGGGGAGCAAACAGG